GUGAGUACUGGCCAAGAGUUGAAAUUCUGCCCUUGCGUACAUAGCAACGUAAUCUUGAAUCUAUGGCCCUUAAAGGAAUUACUAAGCUUGUGUCUCUACUCUGUUUUUGAAACAGAAGGAGAGAAAGCAUUGGGUGAACUUUUGUCCUUGUGUUUUUGUGUAUGUAGCCACACACAUUCUUAAAAAAAUUUUAUGGAAAACAUUUUCCAUAAAAUAUAUUUUUUUUCUUUUCUUUUUUUCGGAGCUGGGGACCGAACCCAGGGCCUUGCACUUACUAGGCAAGCGCUCUUCCACUGAGCCAAAUCCCCAACCCCGUAAAAUAUAUUUUUGAACAUAUUCUUUCCCCUCCUUCAACUACCAUCCCACCCAAAUUUAUGUUCUUUAUCUUUCUUUCAAAAACCAAACAACAAAAACAACAACAAAAACAAAAGUCAAAGCAGAAUUUAAAGAGAGAAAAAAGAAACGCUGUGUCUUUGUUGGUGAACAUCACUUGGCAAACCUGCCUGAGGAUGGAGACAGCUUCUUUCUUCAAAUGCAUGCAGCCCUUGGGAUCCGAAGACCAAGGCCCGGGGUUGUGGGUCUCUAUGAGACAAAGUUAUUCAGCAGUUUGACAGACGGCAAAAAUCUGCCUCUGACUUUCCUCCAUAACUUCCAUGUAUGUAGAAAGGAGCCUGAUCACUGGACCUGGACUUCAAGGAGCCAGAGCUGAGGGUAAAGAUGGGGAAGCAUGAGAACCAGUGCCAAGCAGGAAGAGUAAGCUGAAACACCCUAAGGAAUGAGUCUCUUGAGUCCCCCUGGACUCAAGCCUGAAAUGCUGACACUGCUCCUUCAGCUCUCCUAGAGAAUGGAAGUCGUGUCGCUGGACUGAAGAUGAUUCAAGGCUGGAGACGCCCGUACCACGUGGACCUGAAAGCCAGUCUUUGAGAACACAAAAGCAUGUGUGCAGAGAAAAGCAAUCCAGAGAACACAGGGACCUUCGGAGUUUAAAAAAGAAUAACUUCCAUUUCAGAGGCCUGGGCUUCAUGAGGACAGAUCUUCUGUGAACUUCCUCUGUGCUUUUCCCAGAUUUCCUUCCUUGGCUUCAACUGUCCUCUUUCAUUGCUGGCCACUACAGUCCCCAAACAAAGACAGACUGUGGUCCAGGAGGUGAGUCAGAACCGGGUCAAAAACCAACUCCACACGGAAGCAAAGCAAGCUUAUAUUUUACAGCGCUAACAGAUAACAACUGGUCCGCUGUUAAUAAUUAUACCAACACUGAAGGAAAACACGGAUGUAUGGCCAUCCUUGCCAGGCGGGGAAACAGGGAAAUCAGAUAGAACUGCUUGUCUUUCCCAAACGUGCCUGGCAACCUGGAUCCCCGCUGCUUUAUCCGACUAUCUCGAUAACCUUCUCCAGACUCCUUUUCGACGAGAAACAGGACAGCAGGUCUCUCCAACCACAGAGUCUGUUCUUGUCGCCAGUCACUCUUCUUUCCUAACAGAUGGGCCUGGAGCUUGAGCUGAGGGGAGUGAUCGUUGAGAAGAGAAUCCUGCAAUCCGUACUCAUGCCUCAGAAAGCCCACGCAUCCCUAUUGAACGGGGCAAUGGUCCUCUGCGGUUCUCUGUUGCCUGAAAUGCCUUUCAGCUGGAAAAAAAAGCGCAAAGCAACAAAAGCCAUUUUGAAAUAAUUUAGGAGAAGUCCCAUUUUCACCUGAGUUAUUUUGAGCAGCGCAGGACACAAAAGAUCAGGGGGUCAGAAGUUUUCAGGUAAUUGCUUGUUUUCCUGCUCUAGCUGAUUGAAAACUCUCAAGCUUUCUUUUUCCAAACUUGAAUUGUCCUCGCAGUGCCAAGUACCCACCAUUUCGAGGUAAGAGCUGUGUGGCGCAAGAAAAGACUGAAUGGAGAAGAAAACUUGAUAUUUUGCUAAAGAGGAAGGUGGAAACGUAUCUCCAUCAAGGUUUGAUGUGAUCCCAGGUUUCUGUCUACAAAAGAGUCAAAUACAACGCGGAGUAAUUAAUUCCAAGUUCUGUAUCCAUUCUCUUCUCAGACUCUUCAGGGCCGAGAACCAGAAAAGUCAUAAUCAUACAAUACUGGGUGUCCAGGGCCCCUGAGAUUUGCUACCAUUGUGGGGAGUGUGCCAGCUACAGGGAUUGGUUACUAACUACCGUCUAUCCUUAGUAAGUGGAAGACCUCCAGAGUGGUAAAUACAGUUUAAUUCAAGGGGACAGGACCCAGACAGGCUGCGAGCUUGCCUACCCUGAUGGUCUAGCUUGAGGAGAGGUUUCAACUUUGAGCCUGAAGUCAGGCCUUGGAGAAAUUCCAGUCCAUGCUGCUCCUCCUGAUGGUGGUGUUAGGUCCACUGAUGGAAUCUACCUGGGAAGAGUCAGCCCCACACAGGCAUUUCCAAUAUAAUUUCUGACCUUGUGAGAAGGGGGAACAGAGAGGGAAGAAUUUGGAAAGAAGUUUCUGAACAAAGGGGAGUUGGAUUUGGCUGGAAUACCUGUUAGAGCUGAUUGGUAUUGUGCAUCCCAAGCCCUGAACUCAGCUCAGGUCGCAGGAGAAACCCACACUGGUCUCUCAGUGGUUAUCUGGAGGCUAGGAGAGCAUGACUGACAAGGUAAGUCUACUGAACCUGGUAAAGUAGAAAGAUGACUAUGGAGCAAUGAUAACUUAAUUGAAAGGAGGAAAGACUCUGUGUGUGUGCGUGUGUGUGUGUGUGUGUCUGUGUGUGUGAGAGAGAGAGAGAGAGACAGAGACACAGAGACACAGAGACUCAGAGACACAGAGACUCAGAGACAGAGACACAAAGACACAGAGACACAGAGACAUAGAGAGAAAGAGAGGAGAGGAGAAGAGAAGAGAAGAGAGAAGAGAAAAGACAAAACAAGUAUGGAUUUUGAGAACUUUAUAGUUUGUUUGUUUGUUUUUUUUGUAGUAUUCUUUAUAUCCCAUCACAUCUGGCCAGUACUUUCUUGAUUUUCCAUGCCCACAGAAUGCUCCCAUAGCCGUUAAAGGACACCACUCUUUCCUUUGUGAGCCACCCAAUCCUUGAGAAUUAUUAAAGUGUUCGCAUUAUUUUCCUUCUCCUUUUCCCACCCAACUCCCAAUCAAGAAAAAUACUUUAAACCAAAUUACUCGAAGGCUUAUGUCCCCAGCGAAUGUUCACAAAGCUUCUUUCCGUCCUCUGCUCCUCGAGAGUAAUCCAUAGUUGAGUAGAUCAGUAGCUCUGUUUGGCAGUAACUUACCAGUCAACAUCAUUCAUUCCAGCAACAUGGGAAGUAAUGAGAUGGCGAUGGGGUGUUAAGAGGUGGCAGUGAACACAGAGGUCAGUGGCUAUGAAACACAGCUCACAAGUGGGGAAUGAUUCUCUGUGGUGGAUGCUUGAUUAUUCCCUCCCAUCGGUGUUGUACUUUAUGCCUUUCCAAUCCACUUUGCCUCUUAUUUCUGACAAUCCCCCAAUAAAAACUACCUUUUCAUUUAUCUACGGAUCCAUGCCUUCCACACAGAGCAUUGCUAAAUAGGUUUCCUUGAUAAAUUGGAAUAUUUAUUUUAUUUUUUUAUUUUAUGCAGAUCAUGGUUUUGUAUAUAGUUUUCUUCCUACAAGUCAAAGUGUAAAUGUUCUUGGAAAUGAUUUUUUUUGCUUCAGUUUCCUACCAUAAAUGUUAAUAUUGACCUUUAGGUUGGAUGAAAAUUAUGACAGAAGAGGUGAGUUUUUUUUAAUUAGCAGCAGCAUGCUUUAUUCAAUAGUUCUGAUGAUUUGGUUUCCAGUGGUAUCAGUUGUCCAGCAGGUCAGGGAACCAUAUGUGUUUUGAAAUCACAUGAGGUUAUUUGCCAAAAGUGGGAUCAUCAUCUUUAGGGGAUCCCCAGACCCUUUUAUUAUCCAUUUAGCCUCAGAAUUUAAAUUGUGGCCAUAGAGCAGUGGAGAAAGAAGGAAAAGGGGAAGAGAUGGGAGGAAUAACUAUAACAAAAAUAGGAUUAUAAAUGCGUCCUGUAUUUAUGGUAAGAAUGAAAAGCAAAUUCAACUGAGGUCAUCCUUAACGGCGGUCCGCUUUGGUAUAGCACGGGGCUCCUAAUUUACUUUUUAUACUCUAGUCUUUCUUCAGACAUCACUAGCUUCCCAGCAACUAAGUCUUGUUGGGAUGUUUAGCAAAUCGGGCUCAUCGUUAAUAAAGACUUUUUUUAGGAAUUAUGAUUAAUGAACUUACUUUGAAAUAUCCUUACGUUUUUAAAGUAUGUGUUCAUGUCGGGGAAGGUUGUCUGCAUGAACGCAGUACUUGAAGCAGCUGGAAUAAAACAUUGGAACCCUGAGCUAGGGAACUUUGGCCUUGUGUCCUCCCGCCUUCCCUGGUCCUGGCUGCCUGCACAAGCAGAUUUCUACUCUCAGGCUCAUACUUCAUCCGCCUUGCAUUUCGUGCAAGCCCCACCCAAAGAAGCUGGGAAACCUGAAAUCACAUCUUCUUUGCUCUCCUUCUGUGCGGAGAGUUCUGUCAGCCUCUAGGACCUCAGCUUUUCAUUCUUCCACUCCAUGAUGAGCUUGUUGGCCAGGCCUUGUCUCUAGAGCCCGUGAAUAUUUUACUUCCCGUGGCAGAAGGAUUUUACAAAUGCAGUUAGGUAAAAUAUUAUUGAGAUGAGAAAUUAUCCUGGCGCACUCGGGUGGGCACGGCGAGACCACAGAAACUUCCGGGAGAGCUAAGGGAUGACAAGUGAGUGAGAAAGAGCUGCCCCUGGACACAGAGGUUGUGAGAUCAAAGUUAUCUGAGAAGAUAUAGAAAGGACACAUGAUGAUAGAUUUCUAGAAGGUAGAAGAGACAAGGGAAUGGGUUCUCUCCAGGAAUAAGGGUGGCCAUAAGCCUAAACCUUGAUUCAUUUUAGCUCUGCAAAACCAUUGUCUAACUUCUCGCUGGCAGAGCCCUAGGAUAACCAGUUGAUACUGUUGCGAGUUCCUGGGUGUGUGGCCUUUUGUUAUUUUGUUGCUGCUGCUUGGGAAUCUAAUUCAGUGUCUCCCUCUCUGCCUAUGAACCUCAGAGGUUAAUCAGAACUCUCAACGGCUCUGCUGUUGGUCAGUGCCUGGAGGAGGUGCCAGCUCUAAAUUCUUUGUUGCAUUUAGGCCUGAACGUGGAGGCUCAUCUGGAGUCCAUGGUAGACCCAUUUCCUCUGGAGCUUGGAGGGCCUUGACACAGACUUACAGGCCACACCUGCCUCUGAGCUUGUGUGUCACUGCAGGUGAACUUAGGCUUCGAGUUCAUAUCCUCCUGCAAUACCAGCAGAAUGCUUUCCCAGCACAUGCUGUGCACCAGGGCUUCUGUUCCACAGAGAAGCUAAGACAGUUUCUUGGUGCCAAAGUAAGGGUUUUUAAAUUAUCAUUAGUGCUAUUUACCAUGAACUUGGUGGGUGAGGGGAUUUUUGUCCUUUAUGUAGAUUGUCUCUGAAUCCUUGAAAAAUUUAUCCCCGGGGACUGAGGUCUUUGUUUCUUCCCAUUCUAAUGAUCUUGCACCUUUUAUUCUCUAUAAAUAGUUAUAGGGAAAGUUUUUCGCCGAUGAAACCCACCUACAACCUUAGAUCAGGCUCUUGCAGAAGCUGAAAUAAGGAAGGCUUAAGCGUCCUCAGUGUGACAUUGUGCAUCGUGGUAAAAGUGUACAGUCUGAACAAAGAGCCGGCUUCUUUUUACCUUGACGGUUUUAAAACCUCUUUGGGGGUUUCUAACAUGUGGGAAAGUUUCAAAGCAAUCAUCCCAAAACAUCUCUAUGAAUCACCACUCAAUUUCUGUUACACUAAAAAGGAAGUGAAAGUAUGAAAGGACACAUAAUUUAUUCAAUGUCAUACAAUGAGGGAAGGGCAGAGAGGGGAUCGGGUGCAAAGACAGAACCCACAGCAUAGCCUCUCCGUUGCCUUGGUUAGAGGUGAAUUCUAAAAUCACUGCAGAAUUGCUAUCCAACCUUCUAGCUGAGUAGGUGAAUUAAGGAAUAAAUGUAGAUAAGCUAUUUUGUAGAUAAGCUAAAUUAAAUUAAUCAAACUAAAAUGUUGACUAGUGUCAUUACUAAUUUUAAUUUGCACUGUGCUUUUGACAUACUGUCUGGUGUUCCUUUGUGAAUCCUGCCCCACCCCACACACCCAACACUUACCUUCUUACAUCUUUAAAGUCUGUAGUUAAAAUGCUAAAAGAAGAAAUAGUAGCAUUCUUCACUCUCCAUCAUUGUUUGAGCACUGCUUCUUUGCCCUAGAAUUCUUAGGCAUUUAACUUGCAAAAUUCAUGGCUGUAUUUUGAACAGCUGUGUGUUUUUUUAUAUUAAGAAAUUCAUCUUUAGGUAGCCCAGAGCUAAGUCAAUCUGAAAUGAUCAAAAUAAAUUUGAUUUGCCUCCA
Molecule: non-coding RNA, 6338 nt
Organism: Rattus norvegicus (Norway rat)
Lineage: Eukaryota; Metazoa; Chordata; Mammalia; Rodentia; Muridae
Source: RefSeq, a predicted model, not a curated record